Long non-coding RNA from Rhincodon typus (whale shark), 459 nucleotides. RefSeq lists it as uncharacterized. The record is from RefSeq and is a predicted model, not a curated record. NCBI's taxonomy places the organism in Eukaryota, Metazoa, Chordata, Chondrichthyes, Orectolobiformes, Rhincodontidae. The transcript has 3 exons.
CAAGUGCUCUCUCCCACUCUUUGAAAACAACAGGAAAAACUACAUACACAGAAACAGAAGGAAAGAAUUCUAAAACGUAAAGGAACAGGAAAGACAACGCCACCACCCCAGGCAUGCAUCUUGAAGAUGGCGCAUACUGUUGCUACUGAGCGUGGUGGAUGGAGUAAAAGUAUGUUGAUAUGGCGCCAAUUAAGAGGGCUGCUUUGACCUGGAUGGUGUCAAAACUCUUGAGUGAUGUUGGAGAUGUGCUCAUCCUGGCAAGUGUGGAAUAUUCCAUCACACUCCUGACUUGUGUCUCGUGGUCUGGGAAUUCAGGAGAGUGGAAGCACUUCAAGACCACAUCUUUUUAUUUUGGAUUGCAGACUGAAAAUGGGUAAAAAUGGACCCUGAUUUAAAGAAGGAAAAACAGUGUUUACUUGCAAUUUGUAAAACACAAAUGAAGCUAUAUGAUGCAAAUGA